Molecule: ribosomal RNA, 438 nt
Filed under: uncultured bacterium
Lineage: Bacteria
Description: bacterial SSU rRNA
Rfam family: Bacterial small subunit ribosomal RNA
Source: RNAcentral
CCUACGGGUGGCAGCAGUGGGGAAUAUUGCACAAUGGGGGAAACCCUGAUGCAGCGACGCCGCGUGAGCGAAGAAGUAUUUCGGUAUGUAAAGCUCUAUCAGCAGGGAAGAAAAUGACGGUACCUGACUAAGAAGCUCCGGCUAAAUACGUGCCAGCAGCCGCGGUAAUACGUAUGGAGCAAGCGUUAUCCGGAUUUACUGGGUGUAAAGGGAGCGCAGGCGGCUUUGCAAGUCUGAUGUGAAAGGCCGGGGCUCAACCCCGGGACUGCAUUGGAAACUGUAAAGCUAGAGUGCCGGAGAGGUAAGCGGAAUUCCUAGUGUAGCGGUGAAAUGCGUAGAUAUUAGGAGGAACACCAGUGGCGAAGGCGGCUUACUGGACGGCAACUGACGCUGAGGCUCGAAAGCGUGGGGAGCAAACAGGAUUAGAUACCCGAGUAG